This 254-nucleotide ribosomal RNA is filed under the name uncultured bacterium. RNAcentral's name for it is "partial 16S ribosomal RNA". It matches the Rfam family "Bacterial small subunit ribosomal RNA", at positions 524 to 776 of the family's 1533-position model. The record is from RNAcentral.
UACGUAGGGUGCAAGCGUUGUCCGGAAUUAUUGGGCGUAAAGAGCUCGUAGGCGGCUUGGCAAGUCGGGUGUGAAAACUCCAGGCUCAACCUGGAGACGCCACUCGAGACUGCUAUGGCUAGAGUCCGGUAGGGGACCACGGAAUUCCUGGUGUAGCGGUGAAAUGCGCAGAUAUCAGGAGGAACACCGGUGGCGAAGGCGGUGGUCUGGGCCGGCACUGACGCUGAGGAGCGAAAGCGUGGGGAGCAAACAGG